UACGGAGGGUGCAAGCGUUGUCCGGAUUUAUUGGGUUUAAAGGGUGCGUAGGUGGGCUAUUAAGUCAGUGGUGAAAGCCUGCAGCUCAACUGUAGAACCGCCAUUGAUACUGAUAGUCUUGAGUAUGGUUGAGGUAAGCGGAAUUUAUGGUGUAGCGGUGAAAUGCAUAGAUACCAUAAGGAACACCGAUAGCGAAGGCAGCUUACUGGGCCGUUACUGACACUGAUGCACGAAAGCGUGGGGAGCAAACAGG
This 253-nucleotide ribosomal RNA is filed under the name bacterium. Its description in RNAcentral is "partial 16S ribosomal RNA". It matches the Rfam family "Bacterial small subunit ribosomal RNA", at positions 524 to 776 of the family's 1533-position model. The record is from RNAcentral. RNAcentral also lists the same sequence under 1 other name.